UGGAGGGCAAGUCUGGUGCCAGCAGCCGCGGUAAUUCCAGCUCCAAUAGCGUAUAUUAAAGUUGUUGCAGUUAAAAAGCUCGUAGUUGAAUUUCGGGGUUAGUAGGUUGGUCGUGCCUCUGGUAUGUACUGGCUUURCUGAUUCCUCCUUCUUGAAGAACCGUAAUGCCAUUAAUUUGGUGUUGCGGGGAAACAGGACUGUUACUUUGAAAAA
This 213-nucleotide ribosomal RNA is filed under the name Glomus sp. RNAcentral's name for it is "partial small subunit ribosomal RNA". It matches the Rfam family "Eukaryotic small subunit ribosomal RNA", at positions 551 to 775 of the family's 1831-position model. Lineage: Eukaryota; Fungi; Glomeromycota; Glomeromycetes; Glomerales; Glomeraceae. The record is from RNAcentral.